GACGAACGCUGGCGGCGUGCUUAACACAUGCAAGUCGAACGGAAAGGCCCUGCUUUUGUGGGGUGCUCGAGUGGCGAACGGGUGAGUAACACGUGAGUAACCUGCCCUUGACUUUGGGAUAACUUCAGGAAACUGGGGCUAAUACCGGAUAGGAGCUCCUGCUGCAUGGUGGGGGUUGGAAAGUUUCGGCGGUUGGGGAUGGACUCGCGGCUUAUCAGCUUGUUGGUGGGGUAGUGGCUUACCAAGGCUUUGACGGGUAGCCGGCCUGAGAGGGUGACCGGCAACAUUGGGACUGAGAUACGGCACAGACUGCAACGGGAGGCAGCAGGGGGGAAUAUUGCACAAUGGGCGGAAGCCUGAUGCAGCAACGCCGCGUGCGGGAUGACGGCCUUCGGGUUGUAAACCGAUUUCGCCUGUGACGAAGCGUGAGUGACGGUAAUGGGUAAAGAAGCACCGGCUAACUACGUG
Molecule: ribosomal RNA, 468 nt
Filed under: uncultured bacterium
Lineage: Bacteria
Description: partial 16S ribosomal RNA
Rfam family: Bacterial small subunit ribosomal RNA
Source: RNAcentral